UACGGGGGGGGCAAGCGUUGUUCGGAAUUACUGGGCGUAAAGGGCUCGUAGGCGGCCAACUAAGUCAGACGUGAAAUCCCUCGGCUUAACCGGGGAACUGCGUCUGAUACUGGAUGGCUCGAGUUUGGGAGAGGGAUGCGGAAUUCCAGGUGUAGCGGUGAAAUGCGUAGAUAUCUGGAGGAACACCGGUGGCGAAGGCGGCAUCCUGGACCAACACUGACGCUGAGGUGCGAAAGCGUGGGGAGCAAACAGG
This 253-nucleotide ribosomal RNA is filed under the name uncultured bacterium. RNAcentral describes it as "partial 16S ribosomal RNA". It matches the Rfam family "Bacterial small subunit ribosomal RNA", at positions 524 to 776 of the family's 1533-position model. The record is from RNAcentral.